Molecule: long non-coding RNA, 336 nt
Filed under: Zostera marina
Lineage: Eukaryota; Viridiplantae; Streptophyta; Magnoliopsida; Alismatales; Zosteraceae
Description: long non-coding RNA (ZMAR_LNC002170)
Source: RNAcentral
GCUUUUUCACGCGGCCAGGCGAUGCCUGGGACCGCAUACCGCAUAUGCGACCAGGCGGUCGCAUAUGCGGCCCAAUAUGCGACAUUUUUAUUUAUUUUUUAUAUAUAUUUUUUUCAAUAUACCCCCCUGUAUUUUCUAUAUUUUAAAUAAAUCCCUGAUAUUAUAAGUCAUAAUAAAAAUCAUAAUUGAAAUAAUAUAGUGAUUAAUGAUACUUAAACUCUUAAAAUCUCAAAAACUUAAAAAAACAUUCAAAGUACAAGUGUAAUUCAAACACUUAGUUUCAAGUUCUAAGUUCUAACUAAGUUCUAAGUUCUAACUAUGUUCUAAAUAUUCAAG